Molecule: ribosomal RNA, 519 nt
Filed under: Proteus mirabilis
Lineage: Bacteria; Pseudomonadati; Pseudomonadota; Gammaproteobacteria; Enterobacterales; Morganellaceae
Description: partial 23S ribosomal RNA
Rfam family: Bacterial large subunit ribosomal RNA
Source: RNAcentral
GGUUAAGCGAAUAAGCGUACACGGUGGAUGCCUAGGCAAUCAGAGGCGAUGAAGGACGUGCUAAUCUGCGAAAAGCGUCGGUAAGGUGAUAUGAACCGUUAUACCCGACGAUAUCCGAAUGGGGAAACCCAGUAUCCAAUGGAUACUAUCAUUAACUGAAUCCAUAGGUUAAUGAGGCGAACCGGGAGAACUGAAACAUCUCAGUACCCCGAGGAAAAGAAAUCAACCGAGAUUCCCCUAGUAGCGGCGAGCGAACGGGGAGCAGCCCAGAGUCUUAAUCAAUAGCAGUGUCAGGAGAACGGUCUGGAAAGUCCGGCAGUAAAGGGUGAUAGCCCCGUAUCUGAAGAUGCUGUUAUUGUGAACUCGACGAGUAGGGCGGGACACGUGUUAUCCUGUCUGAAUAUGGGGGGACCAUCCUCCAAGGCUAAAUACUCCUGAUUGACCGAUAGUGAACCAGUACCGUGAGGGAAAGGCGAAAAGAACCCCGGCGAGGGGAGUGAAAAAGAACCUGAAACCGUG